Mus musculus (house mouse) is the source of this 1298-nucleotide RNA transcript. It is a transcript of the gene named surfeit gene 2, with no coding region annotated. The transcript is spliced from 6 exons. The record is from RefSeq and is marked validated. NCBI's taxonomy places the organism in Eukaryota, Metazoa, Chordata, Mammalia, Rodentia, Muridae.
AGAUGGGCAUCUCCGAUCAUGGACGAACCACCCUCUGAUGUGCUUGCAUUCUUGCGCCAGCACCCCAGCUUGAGACUACUGCCCAACACCCGCAAGGUUCGCUGCUCCCUAACUGGCCAUGAGCUGCCCUGCCGUCUGCCCGAGCUCCAGGAAUACACCCGCGGCAAGAAGUACCAACGGCUGUCAAGUUCCUUCUCUAACUUCGAUUACGCAGCUUUCGAGCCACACAUUGUGCCCAGCACAAAGAAUCGGCACCAACUGUUCUGCAAACUCACCCUGAGGCACAUCAAUAAGUCCCCAGAACACGUGCUGAGGCACACCCAGGGCCGGAGGUAUCAGAGAGCACUUCAUCAAUUCUCCUAGAUGAAGAGUGUCAGAAACAAGGUGUGGAAUAUGUCCCUGCCUGCCUUCUACACAAGAGGAAGAAGAGAGAGGACCAGACGAACAGUGAUGAACUCCCAGGCCAGAGAACAGGUUUCUGGGAGCCAGCUUCCAGUGACGAGGAAGACGCCUUGAGUGACGACAGCAUGACAGACCUAUACCCACCUGAGCUGUUCACAAAGAGAGAACUAGGCAAGCCUAAGAACGAUGACACUCCUGAAGACUUUCUGACAGACCAACAGGAUGAGAAGCCGGAGCAUUCAGAAGAGAAGAGCUUUAGAGAGAGGGAAGAGGCCAGAGUGGGCCACAAGAGGGGUCGUAAACUGAGGAAGGCCCCACACUGACCCAGCAAUAGAAGUGUUGAGAAGGCAGACUUAAGGCUCUUCCGGCUUAGACACACAGUGCCUUUCCCUGUGAACCUGCAGAGGCCCUGGUCAGCAUUUUCUGCUUUCACAGAAGCAGCUCACCUCCUUGACCAAGAAGUUCAAGAGCUAUCAUCACAAGCCCAAGAACUUCAGUUCCUUUAAGCAGCUGGGGAGAUGAAGCCUGCAAAAAAAGCCUUUGGAUGUCCUUGGAAAUGGCCACUGAUAUCCUGACAUUGGCUGUUGUCCAGAGUGGGCCUGGAGGUUCUGUUCAGAAGAUGGCAGCGUCGGGGACUUGCAUGGCUUUCUCUGCAGUGUUGAGUGACUCUUGCUGUAGCUCACUGUAGCAUCCCGAAGCCUAGCCAGGCUCCCAGCUCUGGCUGCUCACCAUAUAGGACCACACUAUAUACCACAAAUGCCAUUAUUUAUUUUGAUGUUUCCAAAGAUCAAAACAUUUUCAAACACAACUAAGAUAUAAAAUACAGCAUAAAAAUGAGGUUUAUACCUAUUCCCACAUAAAGCUAAAGCAUCUUCAGAAAACUUUUGCCAAACCAA